UUUUCAGUACAAAUAAUAUGCUGUCUAAGUAAUACAUCUAACUAAAGGACAAAAAGACCCUUUGAAGCUUUAUAGGGAUAAAACUUUGAUUGCAUUUUUUAGCUUAGGCCGCUCAAAGAUCUAUAUCUGAGGUGUGCCUUAAUAAAUUUAUUUAUUGUCUGG
Molecule: ribosomal RNA, 162 nt
Filed under: Durusdinium sp.
Lineage: Eukaryota; Dinophyceae; Suessiales; Symbiodiniaceae
Description: partial large subunit ribosomal RNA
Source: RNAcentral